This 1203-nucleotide ribosomal RNA is filed under the name Ophiostoma brevicolle. RNAcentral's name for it is "SSU rRNA". It matches the Rfam family "Bacterial small subunit ribosomal RNA", at positions 158 to 1344 of the family's 1533-position model. The record is from RNAcentral. Lineage: Eukaryota; Fungi; Ascomycota; Sordariomycetes; Ophiostomatales; Ophiostomataceae.
GGGGUAUAAUCCCUUAUAUUAACAAAGGUAAAUCCGCUUUAAGAUGAUAAGAUAAAUCAUAGAGAUAGGUAGUUGUUAAGGUAAUAGCUUAACAAGCCUAUAAUUCUCUUAGUCGUAGCUGAAAUGGUUGAUCGACCACAUUGGGGCUGAAAAAAACCCAAGACAAUAAAUUGUACAGCAGUGGGGAAUAUUAGUCAAUGGCCUAACGGCUGAACUGGCAACUUGGAGGAAUGGCUUAAAUUCUUAUAAAAUUGAAAGAUGGAAUAAGAAUUAUAAAGGUUAAAUCUAUCAAAGAAUAAAAUUCGAUAUGUAUAUUGUAUAAUGAUAGUAUAUAUAAUAGUCUUGACUAAUUACGUGCCAGCAGUCGCGGUAAUACGUAAGAGGCUAGUGUUAUUCAUUUUAAAUAGGUUUAAAGCGUACAUAAACGGAAGAAAUUUACCAUUAAAAUGGAAUAAUUUUUAUCUAGAGUUUAAUAUAAAAAGGUAGUACUUAUAGAGUAGAGAUUUAAUUUUUUGAUACAGUAGGGACUGGUAAAUGCGAAAGCAACCUUUUAUGUAAAAACUGACGUUGAUGGACGAAGGCUUAGGUCACGAAUAGGAUUAGAUACCCUAGUAGUCUAGGCAGACAAAGCUGAAUGCUUUAGGUUAAGGUACUCUUAGUCUAAAAAUGAAAAUGUAAGCAUUUCACCUCAAGAGUAACGUGGCAACGCGGAAACUGAAAUCACUAGGCCGUUUCUGACACCAGUAGUGAAGUAUGUUAGUUAAUUCGAUAAUCCACGAAAAAUCUUACCACAAUUGGAAUUAUAUAUAUAUUUAUAUAAUGAAGCGAGUUUUACAUUAUAUUGUAAUGUUGCGAGUUUUGCAUUAUAUUAUUAUAAUAUAACGAGUGUUGCACGGCUGUUUUCAGUUAAUGUUGUGAAAUUUUGGUUUCGGCCAAGGUAAAAUUAACAUAAACCCUUGCUUUAUUUAUAAAUCCCCUUUUUUUAUAAAGCUGUAAUUAUCGAUUUUUAGUAUAAUUGAUAGAUUAAUAGGGCUAAAGACAAGUCAUCAUGACCUUUAAAUUGUGGGCUCUAGACGUGCCACAUGUUCCUAGACAAAAAGAUGCGAAAAUGUGAAUUUUAGCUAAUCUUAUAAAAUAGGAUACAAAUAGAUAUGGAUUAUAGUCUGAAACUCGACUAUAUGAAUAAGUAAUUGCUAGUAAUCG